Molecule: transfer RNA, 85 nt
Organism: Sphaerobolus stellatus SS14
Lineage: Eukaryota; Fungi; Basidiomycota; Agaricomycetes; Geastrales; Sphaerobolaceae
Rfam family: tRNA
About the family: Transfer RNA (tRNA) molecules are approximately 80 nucleotides in length.
Source: Rfam
GGCGCAAUAGCUCAGCUGGGAGAGCGACAGACUGAAGUAAAAUUUGGGCAUCUGCAGGUCCCCGGUUCAAUCCCGGGUUGUGCCA